UGCGUAACGGGAGGGACGUUCUGGAAGGUUCGGCGGCCGCCCUCAGUCGCGGGCGGGCGGCGGCAGCGGGUGGAGGCGGCUCUCGGCUGCGGUUCUCUCGCUCUGCUAUCGCGCUUCUGUCGCCGAUCGCGGCUGGCGCGGCGCGCCCGGCGCUAUGGGGGUGACUCACGAAGCGGGGCUCUCCCCUCAGGACCCGUGCGGCGGCAGCCCGGCGGGCUGGAGCCGGAGCGCGCAGGUGCCUCAGGGGAACCAGCGCGGGGCGUGCCCGGCAGCGCCCAGCGGAACAGAGACGGGGCACUGCCGGGCAGCAGCCACGCCCGGGGCGGCGGCGGGUGGCGCGCAGAAGGGCAGCGCGGGGCAGACGGCCGACAUGGCGGAGUUCAUGGAUGACCUGACGCUGCGCUCUCCCGAGCGCGGGGGCUCCCCGGCGCGCUCGCGCUCCUCCAGCCGCUCCUCCAGCCGCUCCUCGCGCAGCUCCAGCUCCAGCAGCUCCUCCGGCCGCUCCUCGCGCUCCGGGAGCCGCUCCCGGUCCCGCUCCCGCUCCCGGCGGCGCCGCUCCCGCCGCCGCUCCCGCUCCUACUCGCGCAGCCGCUCGCGCUCCCGCGGCUCCCGGCGCUACCGCGGCCGCUACCGGCCCCGGCGCUACCGGCAGCGCUACCGCCGGCGGCGCUCCCGCUCCUGGUCCCGCGGCAGGGCGUGCUUCCGCCGCUCCUACUCCAGGAGCCGGAGCCGCUCCCGCGGCAGGCGCUACUACGGCUUCGGCAGAACCGUCUACCCCGAGGCCUACCGCGGCUGGAGGAGCCGCUCCCGCACGCGCUCCCGCAGCCGGUCACCGCUGCACCUCAGCGAGAAAGACAAAAGGGAACUCCUGGAAAUUGCAAAAGCCAAUGCUGCCAAAGCUCUGGGAACAGACAACAUUGUCCUGCCAGCGAGCCUGAAGAUCUCUGCUCCUGCCAAGGAGAUCAAAACGGAGAAGCAGGAGCGUGAGGAAGCCACGGAGUCAGCUGAGAUGUUGAGAGAGUACAGAAGAAGAGGCCUGCCUCCCUUGCAGAUAAGUUAAUUGCUGUUCUCCAAGGACGGGUGCAGAGCUGCUGCCCCUCGCUGGGGGUGGCCCCGGGUCCUCCCGGGGCUGGCACGGGGCUGGAGCUGCCUCUGUUCCUGGGCGUGGGCACGGCUGCCCGUGCUCCCUGGGCUCAGCCCUGCUGUGUGUGGCUGUGCAGCUCCUUUAGAUGAGAAACUGAACACUCCCCAGCUGUGCUGUGCAGGACUGCCUGCCCUGGGUCGGGGAUCCCCUGCUAAGCUCUGUCUGCUCCUCUUUAGCAACCUGGGAGUGCAGCUGAGGACGUGACCAAGGCUGGCAUGGAGAGAGCAACCAUCCAGAGGAGCAUUUCCUUCAGCCCUAAUAACACAAUGGCCAAGCCUGCCCUGCAGAAGCCAGUGAGCCACGUUGUGGUUAAGGAGCCAGUGGUGUCUCCAGCCAGGGAGGAUGACAGGAAGGGAAGCCCCUAUGGGCAGUGGGUUCCUGUCAAGAAGGAGGAGAAGAAAACAUUCCUGAACUUUUCACCCAAAAGCUCCCUGUUCCGGGCACGCUGAUGGGAGUCCUGGCAGCCUGCAGCACUUCACCCUCAGCACAGAGGGACACUUCUGAUGGGCUUGAAGACUUGUUAAUACUGAGUAUUUAUUUUGAGGUCUUAAUUUUUGGAAUCUUAGGUUUCUCUUUCAGAUAGAGAGCACACAGAUCCAGAAGCCACAGAUGGGAAUCUUGUGUAUAUUUGUAAAUAUUUUAUAUUGCUUUAUUGGACUAGAACUUGCAGGUGGGUAACUUUUUCUAAACCAUAGUUGAGUAGCUGUUCUUUGAACACCUGGAUUUACUUUGUGUAACUGUUUACUUCAAGUGAAUAAAGUUUAGUUUUGCACUGGC
Passer montanus (Eurasian tree sparrow) is the source of this 1921-nucleotide RNA transcript. It is a transcript of the gene named arginine and serine rich protein 1, with no coding region annotated. The record is from RefSeq and is a predicted model, not a curated record. The transcript has 6 exons. Lineage: Eukaryota; Metazoa; Chordata; Aves; Passeriformes; Passeridae.